ACCUUGUGAACCGUACCAAACUAUUCAGGGGUCGGCUUGUCCGUUAAAUGGUCGUCGGACGCGAGAGAUCGCGGCCGCUCGACCGGCCCCGCACGCGUUUUGUUUUUUUAUAAACAUAUGUGUACCUGUCUGACCAAGCGUUGCGGCCGGCCCAAGGGUCGGUCGCGGCAAUUAGAGCAAAAAACGAGAUACAACUUUUGACGGGGGAUCUCUUGGCUCACGCAUCGAUGAAGAACGCAGCCAGCUGCGAUAAGUAGUGUGAAUUGCAGAAUUCAGUGAAUCAUCAAAUCUUUGAACGCAAAUGGCGCUCUUGGGUUCUCCCAGGAGCAUGUCUGUCUGAGUGUCGGAUAUCAUCCAACGCACGCCAGCGUGCGGAAUUGAGGCGUCACGGUCCGUACUGCACGGACCGUGUCCCUUGAAAGUCAGAGAGACUCGCCGCGUCGCGGGAAGAUUCCCCGUGCACACCAGCGGAGGCUAAAAUGUCUUUUGCCCUUCGCGUGCCGGGAAGUCGCCGCGUGCGGCGGUCGUCGUCGGGCGAUCUUUAAUUAUCUUGACCUCAAAUCAGCCUAGGGUUACCCGGGUAAUUUAAC
RNAcentral lists this ribosomal RNA (590 nucleotides) under Desmophyllum dianthus. RNAcentral's name for it is "eukaryotic LSU rRNA". The stretch from base 193 to 346 matches the Rfam family "5.8S ribosomal RNA". Lineage: Eukaryota; Metazoa; Cnidaria; Anthozoa; Scleractinia; Caryophylliidae. The record is from RNAcentral.